AGAGAUGGAUUGGUGCCUUCGGGAACUCUGAGACAGGUGCUGCAUGGCUGUCGUCAGCUCGUGUUGUGAAAUGUUGGGUUAAGUCCCGCAACGAGCGCAACCCUUAUCCUUUGUUGCCAGCGGUUAGGCCGGGAACUCAAAGGAGACUGCCAGUGAUAAACUGGAGGAAGGUGGGGAUGACGUCAAGUCAUCAUGGCCCUUACGAGUAGGGCUACACACGUGCUACAAUGGCGCAUACAAAGAGAAGCGACCUCGCGAGAGCAAGCGGACCUCAUAAAGUGCGUCGUAGUCCGGAUUGGAGUCUGCAACUCGACUCCAUGAAGUCGGAAUCGCUAGUAAUCGUAGAUCAGAAUGCUACGGUGAAUACGUUCCCGGGCCUUGUACACACCGCCCGUCACACCAUGGGAGUGGGUUGCAAAAGAAGUAGGUAGCUUAACCUUCGGGAGGGCGCUUACCACUUUGUGAUUCAUGACUGGGGUGAAGUCGUAACAAGGUAGGCGUAGUGCU
This 507-nucleotide ribosomal RNA is filed under the name uncultured bacterium. RNAcentral's name for it is "bacterial SSU rRNA". It matches the Rfam family "Bacterial small subunit ribosomal RNA", at positions 1002 to 1509 of the family's 1533-position model. The record is from RNAcentral.